This 478-nucleotide ribosomal RNA is filed under the name uncultured bacterium. Its description in RNAcentral is "partial 16S ribosomal RNA". It matches the Rfam family "Bacterial small subunit ribosomal RNA", at positions 28 to 507 of the family's 1533-position model. The record is from RNAcentral.
GAUGAACGCUGGCGGCGUGCUUAACACAUGCAAGUCGAACGGGAAAUAUUUCAUUGAGACUUCGGUGGAUUUGAUUUAUUUCUAGUGGCGGACGGGUGAGUAACGCGUGGGUAACCUGCCUCAUACAGGGGGAUAACAGUCAGAAAUGGCUGCUAAUACCGCAUAAGCGCACAGAGCUGCAUGGCUCAGUGUGAAAAACUCCGGUGGUAUAAGAUGGACCCGCGUUGGAUUAGCUAGUUGGUGGGGUAACGGCCCACCAAGGCGACGAUCCAUAGCCGGCCUGAGAGGGUGAACGGCCACAUUGGGACUGAGACACGGCCCAGACUCCUACGGGAGGCAGCAGUGGGGAAUAUUGCACAAUGGGGGAAACCCUGAUGCAGCGACGCCGCGUGAAGGAAGAAGUAUCUCGGUAUGUAAACUUCUAUCAGCAGGGAAGAUAGUGACGGUACCUGACUAAGAAGCCCCGGCUAACUACGUG